CGGACGGGUGAGUAACACGUGGAUAACCUACCUAUAAGACUGGGAUAACUUCGGGAAACCGGAGCUAAUACCGGAUAAUAUAUUGAACCGCAUGGUUCAAUAGUGAAAGACGGUUUUGCUGUCACUUAUAGAUGGAUCCGCGCCGCAUUAGCUAGUUGGUAAGGUAACGGCUUACAAAGGCAACGAUGCGUAGCCGACCUGAGAGGGUGAUCGGCCACACUGGAACUGAGACACGGUCCAGACUCCUACGGGAGGCAGCAGUC
Molecule: ribosomal RNA, 263 nt
Filed under: uncultured Staphylococcus sp.
Lineage: Bacteria; Bacillati; Bacillota; Bacilli; Caryophanales; Staphylococcaceae
Description: partial 16S ribosomal RNA
Rfam family: Bacterial small subunit ribosomal RNA
Source: RNAcentral